GCUUGCUUGGCUCAGCUGGUUAGAGCGCCGGUCUCAUAAUCCGGAGAUCACCAGUUCGAUCCUGGUAGCGAGCA
Molecule: transfer RNA, 74 nt
Filed under: Jaapia argillacea MUCL 33604
Lineage: Eukaryota; Fungi; Basidiomycota; Agaricomycetes; Jaapiales; Jaapiaceae
Description: tRNA-Met (CAT) (tRNA-Met-CAT-3-1)
Rfam family: tRNA
About the family: Transfer RNA (tRNA) molecules are approximately 80 nucleotides in length. Their secondary structure includes four short double-helical elements and three loops (D, anti-codon, and T loops).
Source: RNAcentral